Molecule: small RNA, 159 nt
Filed under: Dromaius novaehollandiae (emu)
Lineage: Eukaryota; Metazoa; Chordata; Aves; Casuariiformes; Dromaiidae
Description: TUC338 (ENSDNVG00000018163.1)
Source: RNAcentral
UUGCCUGUGAGUUCUGCCCAUCAUCCCUAGGACAGGUAAACUUUGGGUGACAGUUCUGUCAGCUUUCCAGUUGCUGCCCCAACACUGGAUUUCAACCCUGUCCUGGAGGGAUCACUGCUAAGAGUGAGAGGGUAGCUCAUAUUCCAAGACUAUUCCACU